GAUGAACGCUGGCGGCGUGCCUAAUACAUGCAAGUCGAGCGAAUGGAUUAAGAGCUUGCUCUUAUGAAGUUAGCGGCGGACGGGUGAGUAACACGUGGGUAACCUGCCCAUAAGACUGGGAUAACUCCGAGAAACCGGGGCUAAUACCGGAUAACAUUUUGAACCGCAUGGUUCGAAAUUGAAAGGCGGCUUCGGCUGUCACUUAUGGAUGGACCCGCGUCGCAUUAGCUAGUCGGUGAGGUAACGGCUCACCAAGGCAACGAUGCGUAGCCGACCUGAGAGGGUGAUCGGCCAUACUGGGACUGAGACACGGCCCAGACUCCUACGGGAGGCAGCAGUAGGGAAUCUUCCGCAAUGGACGAAAGUCUGACGGAGCAACGCCGCGUGAGUGAUGAAGGCUUUCGGGUCGUAAAACUCUGUUGUUAGGGAAGAACAAGUGCUAGUUGAAUAAGCUGACACCUUGACGGUACCUAACCAGAAAGCCACGGCUAACUACGUGCCAGCCGCCGCGGUAA
This 515-nucleotide ribosomal RNA is filed under the name uncultured bacterium. Its description in RNAcentral is "partial 16S ribosomal RNA". It matches the Rfam family "Bacterial small subunit ribosomal RNA", at positions 28 to 523 of the family's 1533-position model. The record is from RNAcentral.